Molecule: transfer RNA, 84 nt
Filed under: Felis catus (domestic cat)
Lineage: Eukaryota; Metazoa; Chordata; Mammalia; Carnivora; Felidae
Rfam family: tRNA
About the family: Transfer RNA (tRNA) molecules are approximately 80 nucleotides in length. Their secondary structure includes four short double-helical elements and three loops (D, anti-codon, and T loops).
Source: Rfam by way of RNAcentral
GCCUGGGUGGCUCAGUCCGUUAAGCCUUUGACUUCCACUCAGGUCAUGAUCUCCAGUCCGUGGGUUCAAACCCCACGUCAGGCU